Molecule: ribosomal RNA, 497 nt
Filed under: uncultured bacterium
Lineage: Bacteria
Description: partial 16S ribosomal RNA
Rfam family: Bacterial small subunit ribosomal RNA
Source: RNAcentral
GAUGGACGCUGGCGGCGUGCCUAAUACAUGCAAGUCGAGCGAACAGACGAGGAGCUUGCUCCUCUGGCGUUAGCGGCGGACGGGUGAGUAACACGUGGAUAACCUACCUAUAAGACUGGGAUAACUUCGGGAAACCGGAGCUAAUACCGGAUAAUAUAUUGAACCGCAUGGUUCAAUAGUGAAAGACGGUUUUGCUGUCACUUAUAGGUGGAUCCGCGCCGCAUUAGCUAGUUGGUAAGGUAACGGCUUACCAAGGCAACGAUGCGUAGCCGACCUGAGAGGGUGAUCGGCCACACUGGAACUGAGACACGGUCCAGACUCCUACGGGAGGCAGCAGUAGGGAAUCUUCCGCAAUGGGCGAAAGCUUGACGGAGCAACGCCGCGUGAGUGAUGAAGGUCUUCGGAUCGUAAAACUCUGUUAUUAGGGAAGAACAAAUGUGUAAGUAACUAUGCACGUCUUGACGGUACCUAAUCAGAAAGCCACGGCUAACUACGUG